This 4357-nucleotide long non-coding RNA is filed under the name Olea europaea (common olive). RNAcentral's name for it is "long non-coding RNA (OEUR_LNC003173)". Lineage: Eukaryota; Viridiplantae; Streptophyta; Magnoliopsida; Lamiales; Oleaceae. The record is from RNAcentral.
UCUCUGCUAAAUACGGGGAGGGAUUCCACUUUUAUAAUACACGGUGACAAACAACUUUUUGUAUGAACGCGAUCAAGGAUUGAAAACUCCAAUUCCAAUUUGUGUAGAAGAUCCCUCCCCAACUGCUAAAGUAUAUCACGAGCUGGAAGUGAUUGAUUGACCGUUCAAUUAAUAAAUAGUACGUCAGCUUCACCCACAGGACCUGACAUAGACUAGAUAAUUAAUUGAAGUAAUUGACAGCUUUUUUCCAUAUAAUAUAAUAAUGCACAACGUUUUACACACUCCUAAAAAUUGAUCAAAUAUGGACCCCACAAAAGGAAAUUUUGCCCUGAUAGCAAUUUUUCACUUCAAAAAAUUAAAUUUUUUGAUCAUUAUUUUACUGUUUUAACCGUCAUUUUUACUUCUUCAGUUACAAAUUAGACUCACCUUUCUCUCUAAUGAUCAAAAAAUCAAUUAUCAUAAUCGCUAUCGAACAGACCCUUUAUUUUUGAAAUCCUCACCCAGUCACUCAUUUUGGCCAAGAUGUGUAGAAUCAUGGAGUACGUAGAUUGGUUGGAUGGCAUAUUGUCGUUCUAGACAAGGUAUAACUUGCAAUCUCCCUUGCUCGACGAUUAGCAGCAAGCAAAGUGGCGUUUAGUGUGUCUUGUGCUUAAGCGUAUAAAUGCAGCCAGGUUUCGUGACCUCACAUGCCUUGUGUUUGGGUUCACCAACAGUGGUUUGGGGAUAUCAUUUUCAUUUUUUUUGGACAUUACAAAUUACGUUUUUGGUUUUGACUUGGUCAAAUGGAGUGCUACGGUUUUCAAGCUUGUCAGGAUAGUGGGAUAUUUUUGGAGUUACAUUAUAUGAUUCUAAAUGUAUUCAUUCAUUAUUGUGUGUCGGUUAAGGUUACACCACAAAUAAUUUUGCAUAUCCUUAACUUAUUCUUUGUAAAAUCGCUUCACUUGUUUGGGAUAACUUUUGUUUUUUGAAACUUGGCAAAAUUUUAUCUUUAACUAUACAUUUCUUGGAUCCACAACUUUUAUCCACAUUUUCACUAGACAUUUCAUAAGAUCUACCAACUUUUGUGAACUUUAAAUAACAUACGCAGCGCCAAAAUAUGAUGUUGUAAAUUAAUUGUUUGGGUAAGUCAUAGUAUCGAUUUUACAUUUGAAUUCGAUGAUAUUCGAUUGUUUGUACAUAAUUAUGGAUUUCAAGAUGUUUUGAUAGAAAAUUAUUAUUUUACACUUUUAUAAAACAAUUUUUGAUUAUUAUCAAAUUGAAUACGGAUUUGAAGAUUUUAAAGAUUGGUCUGAAAUCAUUGAGUCACCUUAGAACUCGAAGUCCAAGGUCACUCAAAAACCAUAUUUUUAUUAUUGUUUUUGGGUCCAUAUAGGGCUCGGGAUCAGAACCCAAUGUAUGAAAUGGUAUAAAUUUAGUUAACUAAAAAUCGAUAAUUUUUGUUAAUGUCAAUACCAUAAAGAAGCAGAGCUACCAAAAUUUCACUCGGUCAUUUAUUUUUUUGCCAUUGUUUAAUAGGCAACUAUUAUGUGUAUUCUGUUGAAAUUCUGGUAGCAUGUUUCUGUACACAAAAGAUUUCAAUCAUAAAUGAUGAAAAUAUCUCUUACAUGUAUGUGUGCCUGAUUACAAUUGAUUCGACUGUGAAUUAAUGAAUAAUAAAUUUUAGCUUCCCCACUGGAGUGAGUUUGGUCACAACCAAAUAGUUGAGGCAUCUAAUCAUCAUUCAAGCUUUCUAAAUAAAAUAAAAUAAAAUAAAAUAAAAUCUACAAUUUGAGCACGUUUGGUGAUAAAUAUAUUUUAUAAUUUUAUUCGGGGCCAUAAAUAAUGACAUUUCAUAGUUUUUAGAUUGAAAUAUUACCUAUUUUAUUAUGUGUUGCAUUUAAUAAGUAAAACUUAUUAUUUGUGAAAAAUUGGAGAAAAUAAGCUAAAAAUAGAGAAGAAUGGAGAAAUUCUAAGUGUAAGAACUAAAGUGCAAAUACUCAAAAGUUGUGAUGGAUCUCAUGAUAAAAAUUUGAGAGUGUUAGGUGUCAAUUGAAUGAGAAAAGUAGUCAAAAUAAUGAAAUAUAAUCAAAUAUUAAUUUUUAGUUGAAAAAAAUUAUGCUACGAAUUUUUAACCUCAAAUUGAGACCAUUUUGGUAUAGUAAACAUUCGAAUUGGAAACAUGAUAUUCUAAAAGAAUUGUAGCCCUCUAAAUUAUCUUUUCAACGCAUUUUUAAUCACUUCAAUUGCAUAUUGAGAGAGAAAUUUAUGAAAAAAUACUAAAAAAUGCCCAUCAGAGAGACCAAGGGCGUGCACCUCAACCAAAACAGGGGGCAUCUGAGGCGCCCCAGGCAAGCCAAGCGCACGCCUCAAUAUGAAAAUAAGAAACCUUGGUAUAAAAAUAAGAAAAAUCCGAUUUUCGUUAUUUUUGUUAACAAUUCAGUGGAAUCUUUUAUGCAUUCUAUAAAUACCAAAACUCGACCAGAACAUGGGAAUCCUAAAUUCGACCUGAAUUGCAUCAUAUCCUACAUAUUUUGGAGGCGAAUAAUAAGUCAAUACAUUAAUUCAAAGCGAAUCAUGCAAGGAUUUUGAAAAUUCAUAGCCCCGUUUUAAAUUUGAACCAAGAAUGUGAAUAUCUUUUACUUCUUCUAUUAUUCUUACUUUCGGGUGAUGUUUUUCCAAUUAUUCUUGUGUAAUUUAAUGAUAAAGAAUGUAAACUAAGUUUUUUAUUGUGUUGGAUGGAUGAUGAACAUUAUUAGUAGUUGUUUUUAAUUCAAGGCUCAUUAAUUUAAUAAUUUCUUUAGUUUCUUGAUUCUACAUUAUUUUGUUUGAAUGCUUGAUCACCAUUUAGAUAACUUUUUAUCUAUUCGCAGUGUUGGGAGGCUCACAAUAGAUAGAACACUACAUAUUUAAUACACGGGAAAUAGAUAUUAGAAUAAUAUAUAUGGUGUUUGCAUUUUCGUGAAACAAUCCUAUUAUUAAAUUCAUAUUUUUCAUAUGAAUUUUGACUAGAAAUAGGACCAAGUCGUGUUAAACGUAGAUUUGAUAUUUCUUGAAAAAAGGAUAUUGGAUUAUUGAUUUUCAUUAACAUUAGAAAAAUAAUACCACUUUUUAUGGUCGAAAAUUUGAAAAUAACGCUAAUAGGGGGAUUUAGAAAUUAAAUACAUUCAUCACAUAUAUGCUAAAAACCACUUUUAAGUUUUUUCUUAGUUAAAAUUAGAUUAGAAAAUCACAACAAAUAUCUUUUGAUGUUACUCUUUAUCGAAUUUGAUAGUAACUAGUUUACUGAAAUUAAACAUUAUUUCUCAUGAAAUGAAAACUCUAAACUCACUUUAUCUGUUACUUGUCAAUGAUUCCGUACGCUUGUGAAAUUUAUAUUCGGCAAAACUUUUUUAAGUUUAUAGAAUGAUCGAAUAUCAUUUUCAUCCACACAUUUUUUAUGACUCAUAAUUUUCUUUCACUUUUUAUAAAAUUUAUACCUUACACUUUUCCUUCUAUUUCUAUCAGCCAAGAUGUUAACUAAUUCUGUAAUCACGAAGUAUGUAAAUGGCCUAGAUUAAACAACUGGUUGUAAGUCACUUACCUCCUAACCAAAUUUCACUUGGUCGUCAAUCUAAUAAAUUUUUUUUUUCCUAGUUAUACAUUCUAUGUACUUCGAUCAAACACAAAAAUGAAAAUUUGGUGUGCCAGAUGGGAAAGACUUCAUUUUAUUUCAAAUCAACUAUCGAACAAUUGUUUUUUAAUGCCACUAAUAAUCUUAGGCAAAAUUAAGAGAUCAUGCUUUACCUCAAGUGGAGGCGCCGUGGUCCAGUUCCCACCGUACUGAUGCUUCAUCUACUCUGGAAAUUGUUGCUUUUGCAGUAAAAAUUUCUCCUUUGAACAAUUUGAAGAUAUAAACACUUAUAGAUUUACCCGAGCAGAUUUGAAUAGCUUCAUGAGAUGAUCAACAUGAUCAAAAUGUUAAUGCAAGCCUAUCGAGUUUACAAUGUGUCUUCAAGAUGAAUUUGCUUCUUUCAAUAGUUCUAAAGGCGUACAACAAUCAUUUCCAAAGAUAAAACGAAUUUCAUCUUCGAUGAUAGCGGCACGGCAAUCUGCAAGAGUUCUCACGAACUCAUUGAAGUGCUUACACUUUGAAAAAUCAAUAUCAGAAUAUGAGAGAAGGAAUGAGAUUCAAAACAAAGAAUUUUUUUAAAGAAAAUGGUGUGAAUUUUAGAUUCGCCCAUUUGAAUACCCUUCAAGCCUUUUCAAUACAGUUAUCACUAUUAAGACAGCCUUUCAAAACCCGAACAGUUAGCUCUAAUAGAUGAUUCAGACUAGAAAAUACUUGGGAAAAGCCAACGAUAGGAAAUAAAAAAUAUCAUUUAAAAAUGAUUUCAUUAAG